AUGUUGGGCACCAUGGAGUCACGGAUGGAUCAGUACGAGAUUAUGGAGCAGAUUGGCCGCGGCGCCUUUGGUGCCGCCAUUCUGGUGAACCACAAGACCGAGAAGAAAAAGUAUGUGCUGAAGAAGAUCCGGCUCGCGAGGCAGACAGAGAGGUGCCGCAAGUCUGCUCAUCAAGAGAUGGCCCUUAUUGCCCGCCUUCAACAUCCUUACACUGUUGAAUUCAAGGAGGCAUGGGUUGAGAAGGGUUGCUACGUUUGCAUUGUGACGGGAUACUGCGAAGGUGGCGAUGUGGCUGAACUGAUGAAAAAGGCAAAUGGGACAUACUUCCCGGAAGAGAAACUGCUGAGAUGGUUUGCUCAAUUGGCUCUAGCUGUUGACUACUUGCAUUCGAACUAUGUUUUGCACCGGGACCUCAAGUGCUCAAACAUAUUUCUCACAAAAGAUCAUGACAUCCGUCUUGGGGAUUUUGGCCUUGCUAAGACCUUAAAGGCAGAUGAUCUAACAUCUUCAGUUGUGGGAACACCAAAUUACAUGUGCCCAGAGCUUCUUACUGACAUUCCUUAUGGAUUCAAGUCAGACAUAUGGUCUCUUGGAUGUUGUAUGUAUGAGAUGGCUGCUCAUCGACCUGCUUUCAAGGCUUUUGAUAUGGCUGGACUGAUAAGCAAAAUAAAUCGCUCCUCCAUUGGCCCUAUACCUACUUGCUACUCUCCAUCUAUGAAAAUGCUUAUCAAAAGCAUGUUGAGGAAGAAUCCUGAACACCGGCCUACUGCAUCUGAUAUUCUGAAAAAUCCAUACCUGCAACCUUAUGUUGAUCAGCACCGCGCAUUUACCGCUGUACCGCAUCCCAUGCGAUCACCAGGGAAAUCCAUUACCAGUUCACGGAGCAGUCGGAGGAGCAUGUCUGGGAGCCAAUGUAGCAGCAUUUCUGGCACUGGCAGUGAUUUGGACAGUAUACAAUCAAGUGAAAGAAACACGUCAGGGCUAGCUACAAGUUCAAACAACACCGCCAUUGGUACUGAAGGUGCUGAAGCUACUGAUGAUGCGUCAGUUAAAACCUGUUCAACACCACGUGAUCUUAAAAGCCAUAAGGACAUAGAUAGUCCUGAACUGGAGAGACAAGACUCACCUAAAUCCAUACAUGUUGAUCAGCGUCCCAAAUACGGGAGUAAGCAGCCAAAAAUCAUCAAGAAGAUACUAACAACUCUAAGAGAGGAGACUAGUAAGCUCAGGGUAAACAAUUCACCUUUGAGAGCUAGCCGUGUAAAGCUACAUUCACCUAGUCACAGAGAGCUCUUGUCUGAUGAUUCAGAGCAUAACAGUGUUUCCUCCAGUGUGAAAUCUAGUGAAGUGACGCCACAUGCACCAGCAAAGGUCAACCGCGAUACUGUGAAACACAUACAAGCAUCUCCUCCCCUGAAGUAUUUGUCACCAAUUGUUGAACAUUCUCCAAAAGUUAAGAUCAAAGUGGAUGAGCCGCAGCAGCUAGACCCUACCAAGCAGACAAUUGAAAAUGUUGAUGCCGCUGAAGGGAAAGUCAAGAAUAGGGUUCUACCCAGUUUUAGUAGACGCCCUAGCUUCCCUCCCCGGAGGCAAGUGGGAGCAGAGAGUCCACAGCACACUGGGACAAAACGAGCUCACAGCAAGGUUACCACUGAGCAUGCAAAAAGCCCUUCUCGACCUGUCCAUAGUCCAAAAAAUGCUUUCACUGAGCUUCCAGGUGUUCUAAUGGCUCCUCCAAGCCCCCUGGGGGGUAAUCAAAUGAAAGUUGGCAAUUCACAGGCGGAAUGUGCUCCACCCAGAGAUGUAGCAACCAAAGAAGUUAGCAGUGCUUGCUCCAGUUCCAUGAUUGAUUAUGCUGACAGCACCAAGCAGUCUGAACCAUCUGAACCUGAUUCACUAACCCACUUGGAUUCAUCUUGCAAAUGCUCAACCCUGGACACAGCCAUACAAAAGCAUGAUCAAACUGAUAUGCCAAGCUCAGAGCUCAACACCACCAAUUUUCAGAAGAGUAUGCCUAGUAAUGAUGAUAGUAGUGUAAGCUCAGGCUUGGACCCAUCUGUUGAUACAAAUGUGCAAGAAUUUAUUUGCAAGGAUGAUAUUCCCUGCAGUAAGACGGUGCAGAGCACUCCCACUAUCACUGUACAGAGUGAGGAGGAUAAGUUCACAGUACAAGAACUGCUCUCAUCAGUACCAUAUAUUGCUCCUGAUGAUUCAGCAACAAAAACCAUUGCACUAGACAAAGGAUCCAAUUCUAUCCAUCAGUCAUCAGAGAAAUCACCAGGUCCUCAUUCGGGCCCUCCAGUUGAGGACAUUAUACAUGUCAUAAGGCCCAGCAGUUUCAGCGUCAGCGAUGAGCAGGCAGUAACACGGAAUGCUGAAAUGGAAGCCCAGAGCACAGAUGUUGGCGAACUUGGCGAUGUUAUAAAAGAAGAAGUGGAUGUGAGAAGCAUCACACCAAGUCUUAUACCUUCCGGACUUGUUGGUUCUGCCACUGUGAAGCCCAACAUUUCAGAAGAUAAUACCAUCGGUCCGAAACUCGCCAAUUCAGAUGUGCUAAAAUUGCCCGCUGUCCCAGAAGCAAAUUCUACUUCUCCGGAGACCAACGGUGGGUUCAAGGAGGAGGCGACCCCAGCAAAGGAAAUACCGGCAACCUCAGCAAAGGAAAUGCUUGAUGUUAAGUCCUUCAGGCAACGAUCCGAGGCUCUUGAAGGGCUCUUGGAGCUUUCUGCUGAUCUGCUGGAAAACAACAGGUUGGAGGAGCUUGCGGUGGUUCUGAGGCCGUUUGGGAAGGCGAAGGUGUCGCCGCGAGAAACGGCCAUCUGGUUGGCCAGAAGUUUUCAAGGGAUGAUGAAUGAUGAAGCGAGUCGCAGCUCAACGUGA
RNAcentral lists this ribosomal RNA (2880 nucleotides) under Triticum aestivum (bread wheat). Its description in RNAcentral is "partial small subunit ribosomal RNA". The record is from RNAcentral. Lineage: Eukaryota; Viridiplantae; Streptophyta; Magnoliopsida; Poales; Poaceae.